Non-coding RNA from Danio rerio (zebrafish), 348 nucleotides. NCBI's taxonomy places the organism in Eukaryota, Metazoa, Chordata, Actinopteri, Cypriniformes, Danionidae. The record is from RefSeq and is a predicted model, not a curated record.
ACUCAUCACCAUCUCCAGCAAUGCUCAGAAAUUGAUGUUUGCCUCAAACUGCUUCUUGAACAUUUCAUACCCAGGAGUGCAAAGUGCAAGGCUAGAGUUUGUGCAAAGCAGGUUUCUUUUAAAAUGGAACCCAGAGAAGGAAGUGGAGAAGACCAGAGGAAUCAGAGAAUAAUCGGAAGUGGAGAAGACCAGAUCAAUGAAGACCACAUUAAGAUCUGCGGAGGAAACCGGAGAGCCCAGGGAAAACCAACGCAAACACGGGGAGAGCAUGCAAACUCCACACAGAAAUGCAGACUUGGCCAGGUAAGAUCUGAGCCAGUGAGAUUCUUGCUGUGAGGCAAUAAUCCU